RNA transcript from Sabethes cyaneus, 1889 nucleotides. RefSeq lists it as uncharacterized. The transcript is spliced from 6 exons. The record is from RefSeq and is a predicted model, not a curated record. NCBI's taxonomy places the organism in Eukaryota, Metazoa, Arthropoda, Insecta, Diptera, Culicidae.
ACCGGUCGUACGUUUGUAGGAUUUUUCUCAUCAUACUUAGUAAAUUAGUAAAUGAAAAAAAUGCAACGGAUAUUCAGUGGAUACAUCAAAUCCCACGGAUAUGCAAUCGCUCUGGCAGCGCUAACGUUUGGGUGCAUCUUCGCUUCCGAUGUGUCACUCACGGAUGAGCUGCGGCAGGUCCGGUCACUGGACGACAUCCCGGACGGUAUCGCUACGAUAGAUCGACCAAAUCACCACCACCGGCUAGAUGCCAUUAGCAGCAGUAAGACGACGUACUUUCGGAUGCGCCCGCUGGGACAGCUGAUCUUCUCGCUGGUGUGGGUACUGGCCGGGAUGAUCUUUCUGAUCGGUUUGCUGUUCAACAAGAAGGAAACGAUUUUUCCCUUCGCGACCAUUUUCGCGAUCGAUUGGUGCGUGAUUUUGAUCCAACAUUUGACCAAGCUGGAACGGCGGGGCUUCCAGGAGGUGAUGCUGUCGGCCGAAACUGCAGUAUUAGUCGUCAUUCCCGUGUACGUUGGUUUCACACUGGCGGUGCUGUACAAGUUGUUCGACAGCCGGCAAACACAGGCGGAAAGUGCCAAUUCAGAUGAUCUGGAAAGUGGUCACAAACCGGUCAAGUUCACGCUGGGGGACGAAUUUGACGAUUCCUGGAUUAGCUAGCCGCACGAACGAACGAACGAACGAACGGCGUGGUCGUUGUUGCACAAUCGCACCCAGCAUAGCAACCCCAGUAUUAGGCCCGUAUAGAAGAGAUUCCCUUCUCAUUUUAUUAUGUUAAUGUGAAUUACAAAGAAACUACUUUCUUUGGUUCGGUUUGGUCAGCCAACAGUGCGUUGCGAUUGCACCGAUCAUCUGUCUGGAGGCUGAUCUCAUUGACGUAGUCUCCGAGUAACGAGUAACGAUCGCAUCCUCUUAUCUUCUUCUCCUUGUCCGUCUCGGUCUAGCUCAUUGUCGAUGGGGCGGCGGUUUCCUCUGGUGUUCGCCAGUAAACACACACGCUCGGAAUGGAAGAAAUCAAUCUUCAACUGAUAAGGACUACACGUAUUCAUGUUCCAGGAACGCUGCUUAAUCCACGAUUGAGUCCGAUCUAUAAACGCAUAAUUGUCAGUUGAUGAAUGUUGCCCACAAAAGCUGGUAGGUCGGAGCAGCUACUCGCCUAACGACGACUGAAAAUGGAGCAAAAGCUGGUUCGUUUCAUUAAAUUUCACGGAUAUUUGUACUUAAGUUGUGCCUUGGUGUUUACAAUCCGGGAGCUGUCGCAGCUAACUCUGGAGGCAUUGUACUCUAACCAGAAUUAUUGGAUCUAUGGAAGAGAUUUACUGACCCGAUGCAACCCAACAGUACGUUGGCUGUUUGCCUUACUGUGGUUAACGGCUUUGGCCGUUAUGUACUACGGGAUGCGCUGGGAGGAACGCCAUUAUCUUCGGCCGGUUAAAUGUUUGUUUUUGAUCGAAGUGGUGAUAGUGUUGGUGCAGGACUUUGUUCAUACGAUUAAACACGAACCAGAUGAACGACUGAUCUGUGAUAUGCAGUAUCUUUUCUUCUUCUUCGCAAUUGUUACCUAUGUUCUGUACACGCUGGAAACACUGGCUAUUCUAUUCGAUCGACCAAAGACACGAAUUGUGACCAGUCCAAGCAAGACGCCAAUAAUUAACUGUGAUAGUUCUAUGAUGGUUUAGGCUAAUGAGCUUAACUAUAGUUUGUUAAUACUUUCUUCAGAAUACUUAGUAUGUAAGUAUGUAAGAUAAAUUUGAAAGUUUUUUUUCUCAAAUAUACAAAAUUAAAUGCAAAUUGGAACGUGUUUAAUGCAAACUUCUUAAAAGAAAGCUAAUAAUAGUCAAAAUUUUAUCAACAUUUUUUGCAGGACUAAAAAUAUUUGGGAACCAAAA